This 74-nucleotide transfer RNA is filed under the name Derbesia sp. WEST4838. RNAcentral's name for it is "tRNA-Cys". It matches the Rfam family "tRNA". Rfam says of the family: Transfer RNA (tRNA) molecules are approximately 80 nucleotides in length. Their secondary structure includes four short double-helical elements and three loops (D, anti-codon, and T loops). Further hydrogen bonds mediate the characteristic L-shaped molecular structure. tRNAs have two regions of fundamental functional importance: the anti-codon, which is responsible for specific mRNA codon recognition, and the 3' end, to which the tRNAs corresponding amino acid is attached (by aminoacyl-tRNA synthetases). tRNAs cope with the degeneracy of the genetic code in two manners: having more than one tRNA (with a specific anti-codon) for a particular amino acid; and 'wobble' base-pairing, i.e. permitting non-standard base-pairing at the 3rd anti-codon position. Lineage: Eukaryota; Viridiplantae; Chlorophyta; Ulvophyceae; Bryopsidales; Derbesiaceae. The record is from RNAcentral.
AGGUGAUAUGGCCAAGUGGUAAGGCAGAAGAUUGCAAAUCUUUUAUUCUCCAGUUCGAAUCUGGAUAUCACCUA